CCGUCAUGGCUGCCACUAUAAUCCUGGUGUAAUCUCAGCAGUCGUGUCAUCUCAGUGCAACGGCGGCAUAUAGCAGAGAGCCACUUCCCGCUGCUCAUUGGUUGUUGACCAAACCCACAAUCCUGCACCAGCUCACUGGACCCGGAUUUAGAUCAUGCCCCCCUGUGUGGGAGUUUUUGGCUCCCUGUUUCUGGAUCAGAGGAACAAACUGUGACCGUCCUGCUCGUUAGUUUGUGUCGCCUCACUGAGUCUGAAGCUGCUGAUCAUCACCAAGGUCAUAACCUCGGAGUCCGGGGCACUGUCAGGGUGAAAAAACACAAACUCUGUUGUGCAAACCACGAACUCGACUCAAUCUGAGUCUCAUCCUCAUCAGCACUGUCAGAAAUCCAAGCAGUUUGAGAGAGAGGAAGGCAUUGCUUCUCUUCCAGUCAGAGGAUCAGUAACAGACUUCAAUAUAUUCAAAGCUCUGAAAAUAACAGGCGCUGUGUCAGAGAGAUCUUAGGGGGGGGAAACUUCCUAAAACCUGAACAAACUGAGUCUCAAAGUUUCACUUAAAAACAGCCAACUGCUGUGAAAGACGCUCGUCCAGCAUCCAAGGAGGCGAGUGGGAAGUGAGAGCAGAAAAGGAAAUAAAAAAGAGUGUGAGGGCACCGCAUGAAGGUGUGUGUGUGUGUGUGUAUGUGUGUGUGUGUGUGUUCUCAGAACCAAAGGAGAAGCAACAAUGUGGUGACACGGUCAACACAACUCGUGAAACAAAGUGUCAGCAGAUUACGGCAAAGGGAACUCAAGGACGACGCAAAAAGAGGAAACUGGUGCAAGGACGGUUUUCUGCUGCUUACCUGCUGGUGUAGACGUGCUCACACACACAAAGCGUCAAGAAAAAGACAGAGUGUUCCACGGAGCAGCAAAUGUACUAACAGUCAUUCAAUAAAUAGUUGUGUCUGCCUG
Poecilia latipinna (sailfin molly) is the source of this 948-nucleotide long non-coding RNA. RefSeq lists it as uncharacterized. The transcript has 2 exons. The record is from RefSeq and is a predicted model, not a curated record. Lineage: Eukaryota; Metazoa; Chordata; Actinopteri; Cyprinodontiformes; Poeciliidae.